This 480-nucleotide ribosomal RNA is filed under the name uncultured bacterium. Its description in RNAcentral is "partial 16S ribosomal RNA". It matches the Rfam family "Bacterial small subunit ribosomal RNA", at positions 28 to 507 of the family's 1533-position model. The record is from RNAcentral.
GACGAACGCUGGCGGCGUGCUUAACACAUGCAAGUCGAACGAUGAAGAAAAGAAUCGAAGCUUCGGCAGAAAUUCAUUUCGGAUUAGUGGCAGACGGGUGAGUAACGCGUGAGCAACCUACCUCUUACAAAGGGAUAGCCUCGGGAAACCGGGAUUAAUACCAUAUAACAUUGUGACGAAGCAUUUCGAUGCAAUCAAAGCUACGGCGGUAAGAGAUGGGCUCGCGUCCCAUUAACCGGAUGGUGAGGUAACGGCUCACCAUAGUGACGAUGGGUAACCGGACUGAGAGGGUGAACGGUCACACUGGAACUGAGACACGGUCCAGACUCCUACGGGAGGCAGCAGUGGGGAAUAUUGCACAAUGGAGGGAACUCUGAUGCAGCGACGCCGCGUGAGUGAUGAAGGAAUUCGUUUCGUAAAACUCUGUUCUAUGGGAAGAAAAGGACUGUACCAUAGGAGAAAGCGCCGGCUAAAUACGUG